UACGUAGGGUGCAAGCGUUGUCCGGAAUUAUUGGGCAUAAAGAGCUCGUAGGCGGUCCGUCACGUCGGAUGUGAAAUUCCAGGGCUCAACCCUGGACCUGCAUUCGAUACGGGCGGACUAGAGUUCGGUAGGGGAGACUGGAAUUCCUGGUGUAGCGGUGAAAUGCGCAGAUAUCUGGAGGAAUACCGGUGGCGAAGGCGGCAUCCUGGACCGGCAUUGACGCUGAGGAGCGAAAGCCAGGGGAGCAAACGGG
Molecule: ribosomal RNA, 253 nt
Filed under: uncultured bacterium
Lineage: Bacteria
Description: partial 16S ribosomal RNA
Rfam family: Bacterial small subunit ribosomal RNA
Source: RNAcentral